GCAAGUCGAACUGGAACAGGACGCUUUGAUCUCUUCGGAGUGAACUUGUCGCUGUCGAGUGGCGGACGGGUGAGUAAUGCAUAGGAAUUUGCCUUGGAGUGGGGGAUAGCCCGGAGAAAUCCGGAUUAAUACCGCAUGCGCUCUACGGAGCAAAGUGGGCCUCUGAUUUAAGCUCAUGCUUUGAGAUAAGCCUAUGUCGGAUUAGCUAGUUGGUAGGGUAAAAGCCUACCAAGGCGACGAUCCGUAGCUGGUUUGAGAGGAUGAUC
Molecule: ribosomal RNA, 266 nt
Filed under: uncultured bacterium
Lineage: Bacteria
Description: partial 16S ribosomal RNA
Rfam family: Bacterial small subunit ribosomal RNA
Source: RNAcentral